GACGUAGGGCGCGAGCGUUGUCCGGAUUUAUUGGGCGUAAAGAGCUCGUAGGCGGCUUGUCGCGUCGUCCGUGAAAACUUGGGGCUCAACCCCAAGCUUGCGGUCGAUACGGGCAGGCUAGAGUUCGGUAGGGGAGACUGGAAUUCCUGGUGUAGCGGUGAAAUGCGCAGAUAUCAGGAGGAACACCGGUGGCGAAGGCGGGUCUCUGGGCCGAAACUGACGCUGAGGAGCGAAAGCCAGGGGAGCAAACGGG
RNAcentral lists this ribosomal RNA (253 nucleotides) under uncultured bacterium. Its description in RNAcentral is "partial 16S ribosomal RNA". It matches the Rfam family "Bacterial small subunit ribosomal RNA", at positions 524 to 776 of the family's 1533-position model. The record is from RNAcentral.